Molecule: long non-coding RNA, 1060 nt
Filed under: Capra hircus (goat)
Lineage: Eukaryota; Metazoa; Chordata; Mammalia; Artiodactyla; Bovidae
Description: lncRNA (ENSCHIG00010016473.1)
Source: RNAcentral
CUCUGAGGAAACUAGUUCGUGGUAUCCACAUACCAGAAGGAUGGGAACUGGACAUGAGGAUUAACCUUCAUUGACUGUCUACUACAUGCACAGUUACCAUACCAAAGAAUUUAUGUAUCAUCCCUUUUAAUUUUCUUAAACCUCUGACUUUCAUUAGAGGCUCAGGGAAGUAGUCACUGACUUGAGUUCUUGUGGAUUUUUAAGUGAUGGAACUGCCUAACCCACAGGCUUUCUACCAGAAAACUGUGUGUUGUUUCUGGUUUGUUUCUACCAGAAAACUGUGUGUUGUUUGGACUUGGACUUUUAGCCUAACUCUCUAGCCCUAGAUGGUUCACUUUGUUGUUCUUUAGUAAAUUCUCCUGAGGCAGCAAGGAUUGGGGAGGGGUGGAGUGGUGUUGGGGUCAGAGAUUGGAACCACUUUCCCAGCAUCCUCUUUCUCUUUUUCAUUCUUGUCUUUAUAAAUUAAUAAUUUAUUUUGGUACACAUGUGCGUUAUACCCAGUUGAAAAGGUAUCAAAGGAGUUUAAGGAAUAUUUGAAAAGUUAAUUCUUCUCCCUGACCAUCAGUCAUUGAAUUCUUUUUCCUGGAGAGAGCCAUUAUUGUCAGUUUAUUGUUGCUCCUACCAGAAAUAGUCUGUUAACAUGAGGUGCGUGCGUUGUCUGUAAAGCAAAUGUUACAUGCCAUACACGAAUGUUCUGUACCUUUGUGUUCAUCAGUGGUAUAUCUUCCAUAUUAGAGCAUAGAGAACAGCCUCUUUUUUUGCAUGUAACAACUUUUUUAGUCUACAUGCAAAAUUGUGCAGCCAUCACCAGCCACCUUAUUUUAGAACAUGUUCAUCAUCCUCAAGAGUAAUUCUGAAUACUUGAGUAGUUACUUCCAUUUCUUCAAAUCCCCUCAACCAUAAGCAGCUACUAACCUACUUUCUCUCUCUUCUAGGGAUUACAUAUAAAUGGAAUCAUGCAAUAUAAUCUUUUAUGACUGGUUUCUUUCAUUAACCAUAAUCUUUUCAAGGAUCAUCCAUAUUGUAUCAUCUAUCAGUACUUCCAUUACUUUUUAUUGCU